RNAcentral lists this ribosomal RNA (253 nucleotides) under uncultured bacterium. Its description in RNAcentral is "partial 16S ribosomal RNA". It matches the Rfam family "Bacterial small subunit ribosomal RNA", at positions 524 to 776 of the family's 1533-position model. The record is from RNAcentral.
UACGAAAGGUGCUAGCGUUGUUCGGAAUUACUGGGCGUAAAGCGCACGUAGGCGGCCUUGUAAGUUGGGGGUGAAAUCCCGGAGCUCAACUCCGGAACUGCCUCCAAAACUACGAAGCUCGAGGAUGCGAGAGGAUAGUGGAAUUCCGAGUGUAGAGGUGAAAUUCGUAGAUAUUCGGAAGAACACCAGUGGCGAAUGCGACUGUCUGGCGCUUUUCUGACGCUGAGGUGCGAAAGCGUGGGGAGCAAACAGG